RNAcentral lists this ribosomal RNA (500 nucleotides) under uncultured bacterium. RNAcentral's name for it is "partial 16S ribosomal RNA". It matches the Rfam family "Bacterial small subunit ribosomal RNA", at positions 30 to 523 of the family's 1533-position model. The record is from RNAcentral.
AUUGAACGCUGGCGGCAUGCCUUACACAUGCAAGUCGAACGGCAGCACGGGAGCAAUCCUGGUGGCGAGUGGCGAACGGGUGAGUAAAGUAUCGGAACGUGCCCAGUCGUGGGGGAUAACGUAGCGAAAGUUACGCUAAUACCGCAUACGAUCUAUGGAUGAAAGCGGGGGAUCGCAAGACCUCGCGCGAUUGGAGCGGCCGAUAUCAGAUUAGGUAGUUGGUGGGGUAAAGGCUCACCAAGCCGACGAUCUGUAGCUGGUCUGAGAGGACGACCAGCCACACUGGGACUGAGACACGGCCCAGGCUCCUACGGGAGGCAGCAGUGGGGAAUUUUGGACAAUGGGCGAAAGCCUGAUCCAGCCAUGCCGCGUGCAGGAUGAAGGCCUUCGGGUUGUAAACUGCUUUUGUACGGAACGAAAAGGUUUGGCCUAAUAAGCUGAGCUCAUGACGGUACCGUAAGAAUAAGCACCGGCUAACUACGUGCCAGCAGCAGCCGUAA